UACGUAGGGUGCGAGCGUUAAUCGGAAUUACUGGGCGUAAAGCGUGCGCAGGCGGUUACUUAAGUCAGGUGUGAAAGCCCUGGGCUUAACCUAGGAAUUGCGCUUGAGACUGGGUAGCUUUGAGUGUGGCAGAGGGAGGUGGAAUUCCACGUGUAGCAGUGAAAUGCGUAGAGAUGUGGAGGAACACCGGUGGCGAAGGCGCACAUCUGGCCCGAUACUGACGCUGAGGCGCGAAAGCUAGGGGAGCAAACGGG
RNAcentral lists this ribosomal RNA (254 nucleotides) under uncultured prokaryote. RNAcentral's name for it is "partial 16S ribosomal RNA". It matches the Rfam family "Bacterial small subunit ribosomal RNA", at positions 524 to 776 of the family's 1533-position model. The record is from RNAcentral.